Non-coding RNA from Taeniopygia guttata (zebra finch), 412 nucleotides. Lineage: Eukaryota; Metazoa; Chordata; Aves; Passeriformes; Estrildidae. The record is from RefSeq and is a predicted model, not a curated record.
AUCAAUAAUGAUACAGAUCGCUUUAGGAUAAAAUAUACAUGAAGACUUUAAAAAAAAUAUAUUGUUUGCUCUACUUUCAAAUCAAAUCUGAUAUGCUCUUGAAAAAGCAAAGACAAUGUUAGAGAGAAGCACAACGUGGAUUUGCCAGAAGGGGAAAAACCAGGUGUGGAAAUGUCUGUGCCAUUCUUCAUCACUUGCACAAAGCCCUGCUCCUGUUCUUCAGCAGGACUCAACCCUGGAAGUGUUAUCAGUGUGGAAUACACUUCAAAAAGAGCAGGACUGUGUGAAAUUUUACUAUCAGUGCUGCUUCCUGGAAACCCCUGUUUUCUAAUUGUUUUCCACACACACACACACAAAAUCCCGAAGAGAAAAGAAGAGAAGAGAAGAGAAGAGAAGAGAAGAGAAGAGAAGA